RNAcentral lists this non-coding RNA (148 nucleotides) under Pan troglodytes (chimpanzee). The record is from Rfam by way of RNAcentral. Lineage: Eukaryota; Metazoa; Chordata; Mammalia; Primates; Hominidae.
GCCAGGUGUGGUGGCGGGUGCCUGUAAUCCCAGCUACUCGGGAGGCUGAGGCAGGAGAAUCACUUGAACCCAGGAGGCAGAGGUUGCAGUGAGCCAAAAUUGUGCCACUGCACUCCAGCCUGGGUGACAGAGUGAGACUCUGUCUCAA